AACGUACGCUGGCGGCAUGCCUAACACAUGCAAGUCGAACGAGACCUUUGGGUCUAGUGGCGCACGGGUGCGUAACGCGUGGGAAUCUGCCCUUGGGUUCGGAAUAACAGUGAGAAAUUGCUGCUAAUACCGGAUGAUGUCUUCGGACCAAAGAUUUAUCGCCCAGGGAUGAGCCCGCGUAGGAUUAGCUAGUUGGUGGGGUAAUGGCCUACCAAGGCGACGAUCCUUAGCUGGUCUGAGAGGAUGAUCAGCCACACUGGGACUGAGACACGGCCCAGACUCCUACGGGAAGCAGCAGUGGGGAAUAUUGGACAAUGGGCGCAAGCCUGAUCCAGCAAUGCCGCGUGAGUGAUGAAGGCCUUAGGGUUGUAAAGCUCUUUUACCAGGGAUGAUAAUGACAGUACCUGGAGAAUAAGCUCCGGCUAACUCCGUG
Molecule: ribosomal RNA, 433 nt
Filed under: uncultured bacterium
Lineage: Bacteria
Description: partial 16S ribosomal RNA
Rfam family: Bacterial small subunit ribosomal RNA
Source: RNAcentral